AGCUGAACUGUGAAGACAAAUUAUGAAUUUGCAUGUGUUGGUUUAAAAAAAAUCUCGUUUUCAUUAGCACUGUACGUCCAAGUGAUUCAGGAUAUAGCUGAGUUGCGAUACAUUUCUAAGGAUGAAAAGAUCUCUAGUAAUUGUUUUCAUGAUAAUGUUGGCUGUGGUGUGUGUCGCGCCACGUAAACAUGAGAAAGAAAAGGGGAAGCUUCAUGACUUGACACCAUGUGUAAGUGACCGCGACUGUGACCCCCCCGUAUCAUUAUGCGCAGAGAUCAUCAGUACCGGG
Molecule: long non-coding RNA, 289 nt
Organism: Exaiptasia diaphana
Lineage: Eukaryota; Metazoa; Cnidaria; Anthozoa; Actiniaria; Aiptasiidae
Exons: 3
Source: RefSeq, a predicted model, not a curated record